UACGUAGGGUGCAAGCGUUGUCCGGAAUUAUUGGGCGUAAAGGGCUCGUAGGCGGUUUGUCACGUCGGGAGUGAAAACUCGGGGCUUAACCCCGAGCCUGCUUCCGAUACGGGCAGACUAGAGGUAUGCAGGGGAGAACGGAAUUCCUGGUGUAGCGGUGAAAUGCGCAGAUAUCAGGAGGAACACCGGUGGCGAAGGCGGUUCUCUGGGCCGAUACUGACGCUGAGGAGCGAAAGCGUGGGGAGCGAACAGG
This 253-nucleotide ribosomal RNA is filed under the name uncultured bacterium. RNAcentral describes it as "partial 16S ribosomal RNA". It matches the Rfam family "Bacterial small subunit ribosomal RNA", at positions 524 to 776 of the family's 1533-position model. The record is from RNAcentral.